This 459-nucleotide ribosomal RNA is filed under the name uncultured bacterium. RNAcentral describes it as "partial 16S ribosomal RNA". It matches the Rfam family "Bacterial small subunit ribosomal RNA", at positions 338 to 795 of the family's 1533-position model. The record is from RNAcentral.
CCUACGGGAGGCAGCAGUGAGGAAUAUUGGUCAAUGGUCGGGAGACUGAACCAGCCAAGCCGCGUGAGGGAUGAAGGUACAGAGUAUCGUAAACCUCUUUUGUCAGGGAACAAAGGCGGGGACGUGUCCCCGGAUGAGUGUACCUGAAGAAAAAGCAUCGGCUAACUCCGUGCCAGCAGCCGCGGUAAUACGGAGGAUGCGAGCGUUAUCCGGAUUUAGUGGGUUUAAAGGGUGCGCAGGCGGUCUGUUAAGUCAGCGGUCAAAGCCCGGGGCUCAACCCCGGCCCGCCGGUGAAACUGGCAGUCUCGAGUUGGAGAGAAGUAUGCGGAAUGCGCGGUGUAGCGGUGAAAUGCAUAGAUAGCGCGCAGAACUCCGAUUGCGAAGGCAGCAUGCCGGCUCCACACUGACGCUGAGGCACGAAAGCGUGGGUAUCGAACAGGAUUAGAUACCCUUGUAGUC